Molecule: transfer RNA, 85 nt
Filed under: Felis catus (domestic cat)
Lineage: Eukaryota; Metazoa; Chordata; Mammalia; Carnivora; Felidae
Rfam family: tRNA
About the family: Transfer RNA (tRNA) molecules are approximately 80 nucleotides in length. Their secondary structure includes four short double-helical elements and three loops (D, anti-codon, and T loops).
Source: Rfam by way of RNAcentral
GCCUGGGUGGCUAAGUUGGUUAAGCGUCCGGCUUUGGCUCAGGUCAUGAUCUCACAGUUCGUGGGUUCGAGCCCCAUGUCAGGCU